Chelonoidis abingdonii (Abingdon island giant tortoise) is the source of this 105-nucleotide non-coding RNA. Lineage: Eukaryota; Metazoa; Chordata; Testudines; Testudinidae. The record is from RefSeq and is a predicted model, not a curated record.
CCCAGGAAUGUCUAUUGGGAUCUCAAGGCUGCAGACUCUGGAAAAACCCACCCUUGGUUAAUCAGUAAUCAGAAGGAACUUCUUGCUUGCACUUUGGAUACUGUU